UACGUAGGGUGCGAGCGUUAAUCGGAAUUACUGGGCGUAAAGUGUGCGCAGGCGGCCGCGCAAGUCGAGUGUGAAAGCCCCGAGCUUAACUUGGGAAUUGCGCUCGAAACUACGUGGCUGGAGUGUGGCAGAGGAAGGUGGAAUUCCCGGUGUAGAGGUGAAAUUCGUAGAUAUCGGGAGGAACACCGGUGGCGAAGGCGGCGACCUGGGUCGAUACUGACGCUGAGGUGCGAAAGCGUGGGGAGCAAACAGG
RNAcentral lists this ribosomal RNA (253 nucleotides) under uncultured bacterium. Its description in RNAcentral is "partial 16S ribosomal RNA". It matches the Rfam family "Bacterial small subunit ribosomal RNA", at positions 524 to 776 of the family's 1533-position model. The record is from RNAcentral.